RNAcentral lists this long non-coding RNA (1926 nucleotides) under Taeniopygia guttata (zebra finch). Its description in RNAcentral is "lncRNA (ENSTGUG00000020406.1)". The record is from RNAcentral. Lineage: Eukaryota; Metazoa; Chordata; Aves; Passeriformes; Estrildidae.
UACUUUACAAAGUCAAAAUAGAUUUUUUUUUCUUUAAUGCUACAAGUUUGGCUAGAUUUAUAAGACAAUAAAAGUUAAAUAAGUCUAUCUGUGAAUGAAACCCUGAGAAUAUUGUGUUUCAUCUGUUACCUCUAUUUUAGUAAGUCUGGGCUCAUUCUUCACUUUGCUUUAGGAAAAUUAAAUAAUGUCACAGUUUUUCCUGUGAGAGGUUACCAAGCUAUUACAGGGCCUCCAUGGUGUUCCAUUGGAAUUAAUUGUGCUUAGAAGUUAUGAAAAAGGAGUUGUGUAUCCGUAAGUCAAGUGUUUGUGUUUUGUUUGCAGUAAUAUACAGAAAUUACGUAUAUAAUAUCCAGUAUGAUAGUGUGAAUUUCCCCAAGUAAUUUAAUUUUUGUUCUAGAAUCAUCUCUUUUUGUCAAAAUAUGCAAAUUAAGUUUUCAGAGAUGUUUUUAAUUUUUUUUUUGUUUUGUUUAAUAGUUGGGUAACUAGCUGCAGCCAAGUUAAUCUCAGGAUCAAUUUAUUUAGUUAAGAAGAAAACACAUAGACAUUCAAUUUACUAAAUUUUUUUUGCCAGAGAGUUCUUGACAUUAAAUAAAAAUCUAAUAAUUUCUGUUUGCAUCUGAACAUAAAAUUAUGUAUAAUUACAUGCCAACCUUAACACAUAUGAAAAUUAAGUUGAAGAAUUCAGUGCUCAUUGCUUAAGCUUUUCAUCUGUGACAUCAUGCAUGUGUAUCAUGAUAAUCCUUAAUUAUACCAUCACUUUUUUAGUGCACGAUCCUUCAGUUGGAGAUGGAAAGUUCUCACUGAAUUAAAAAAAUAGAAAUAGAAAGGUUAUUUCUCUAUAUCUGAUGUGUUUAUCUGCACACUUUUUUUUUUUUUUUUUUUUUUUUGCUUUUCCUGCAGGCUUUUCUAGCGUAAUCAUUAGGAGAGUAUCUGAAUGCUCAUACUAAUGAGUACCCAAAAUUCUGAACUAGUAGCAUUAUCAUCACUAUGCUGCUGAGAAAACUAAGGCAUAGAGGGAUUCAAUAAAUGAAUGAGUGCUAAAUUGGGUUGGUUUUCAUUUAAUCAAAGCACAGUUUCACUGAAUAUAAUGUACAGGUUAUUUGAGGGUAGAGGUUGUUCAGCAGUAGAAGUGCUAGCCAUAAUUUUAGAACUGUGUUAAAUUCAGCACUAGGAUUUUUCUUGAAUUUGUGGGUACAUGCUGUGGUCCUGUCUGCGCUAUUAGGGCUUUCCCUGGUGCAGCAUUAUUGGGAUGCUCUGUUCCUCAGAGCAUUUGCAGCGCUGAGAAGGCUGUGUGCCUACGGUAGAUUCUCCUUUAUAUUUCUGCAUUUAUUUUCCAGUGGCUUGAAUUUGGAGCUCAGAAAAUGAGAAGCACUUCACUAGAGGCCUUCAGUUCGAUACAAGAAACUCGCUACUCUGUAAAUCCCUGAUAAAGACAGAAAUAGAAGUGGAACAACUGAGAUUUUGGGUAAAUCCCUGAUGCUGAAAACAUGCAGGGGAGAUCUUGUGCUGUUUUUAAGAAAACAGAAACAGAAAACUAACUUUCAUUUUAUAUGCAGCAUGUCCGUGUGGGAUGGACACAGAUCAUACAAAAAUGAGUUAGGAAAGGCUUUUUGGCUGAUAACAACCAUUAUAAUUUUCCUACUGUUGCCAGCUUUGAGUCUGUUUGCCCCCAAACUUUGUGCUGCAUCCAAAGACCUAAAAUUUGGAGUCUGCAGGCCUCGGAGAUGGAGAGAAGUUGAGCAUAAAGAGAGAAGAGAGCCUGCUGAGUAUUUUCAAGACUGAGAUUUGGAAAUAAGUUUCUCUCCUCCACUUACGAAGAAUCUAAAACAGGACCUUAUCAACCAUGGCACAUCCAUAUUUAGAUUUUCUUUACCUAUAUACUUUUUUCCCCCCUUUAUUUUUGUAUGGACAAGUUUUAAAAUAAAU